This 499-nucleotide ribosomal RNA is filed under the name uncultured bacterium. Its description in RNAcentral is "partial 16S ribosomal RNA". It matches the Rfam family "Bacterial small subunit ribosomal RNA", at positions 29 to 507 of the family's 1533-position model. The record is from RNAcentral.
ACGAACGCUGGCGGCGUGCCUAAUACAUGCACGUCGAGCGGACUGAUUAAGAGCUUGCUCUUAUGACGUUAGCGGCGGACGGGUGAGUAACACGUGGGCAACCUGCCCUGUAGAUCGGGAUAACACCGAGAAAUCGGUGCUAAUACCGGGUAAUAUCUGAGAUCACAUGAUCUUAGGUUAAAAGAUGGCUCCGGCUAUCACUACAGGAUGGGCCCGCGGCGCAUUAGCUAGUUGGUAAGGUAAUGGCUUACCAAGGCGACGAUGCGUAGCCGACCUGAGAGGGUGAUCGGCCACACUGGGACUGAGACACGGCCCAGACUCCUACGGGAGGCAGCAGUAGGGAAUCUUCCGCAAUGGACGAAAGUCUGACGGAGCAACGCCGCGUGAGUGAUGAAGGGUUUCGGCUCGUAAAGCUCUGUUGUUAGGGAAGAAACAGUACCGAACGAACUAGGUCGGUACCUUGACGGUACCUAACCAGAAAGCCACGGCUAACUACGUG